RNAcentral lists this ribosomal RNA (397 nucleotides) under uncultured methanogenic archaeon. RNAcentral's name for it is "partial 16S ribosomal RNA". The stretch from base 14 to 337 matches the Rfam family "Archaeal small subunit ribosomal RNA", at positions 36 to 381 of the family's 1478-position model. The record is from RNAcentral. Lineage: Archaea; Methanobacteriati; Methanobacteriota.
CGGGGGGGGGGUGGGGGUUCGAUUAGCCUGCGAGGCGAGAGGGUGGGUAUCGGCGUACUGCUCAGGGGCAACACCCUCCCCCUAGGUAAGGGAUACCCCGGUAAAGGAAUAAUACCCUAUAGGUUACAGAUGCUGGAAUGCCCUGUAACCCAAAGUUCCGACGCCCUAGGAUGGAUCUGCGGCCGAUUAGGUUGUUGUUGGGGUAAUGGCCCAACAAGCCCGUAAGGGGUACGGGUUGUGGGACCAGAGCCCGGAGUUGGAUUCUGAGACACGAAUCCGGGCCCUACGGGGCGCAGGGGGGGUAACUUUACAAUGCGGGAACCGGGUAAGGGACCUCGAGUGCCUGUAAAGCCGGUUGGUCAGGCCCCUAAAACACACCAAAGAAAGGGCCGGAAAC